This 254-nucleotide ribosomal RNA is filed under the name uncultured bacterium. RNAcentral describes it as "partial 16S ribosomal RNA". It matches the Rfam family "Bacterial small subunit ribosomal RNA", at positions 1247 to 1500 of the family's 1533-position model. The record is from RNAcentral.
AAGCGGAGCCGCGAGGCCGGGCAAAUCCCAAAAAUAACGUCCCAGUUCGGAUUGCAGCCUGCAACUCGGCUGCAUGAAGCUGGAAUCGCUAGUAAUCGCGAAUCAGAAUGUCGCGGUGAAUACGUUCCCGGGUCUUGUACACACCGCCCGUCACACCAUGGGAGUUGGAAAUGCCCGAAGUCAGUGACCCAACCGAAAGGAGGGAGCUGCCGAAGGCAGGUCUGAUAACUGGGGUGAAGUCGUAACAAGGUAUC